AGCUAGUGUGGUGUAGUGGUUUCAAUGUUGGCCUACGAUGCUGGAGGCCAGGGAUUGAAUCCCAGCUUGGUUA
Molecule: non-coding RNA, 73 nt
Organism: Phrynosoma platyrhinos (Desert horned lizard)
Lineage: Eukaryota; Metazoa; Chordata; Lepidosauria; Squamata; Phrynosomatidae
Source: the annotation of a GenBank genome assembly